This 468-nucleotide ribosomal RNA is filed under the name uncultured bacterium. RNAcentral's name for it is "partial 16S ribosomal RNA". It matches the Rfam family "Bacterial small subunit ribosomal RNA", at positions 28 to 507 of the family's 1533-position model. The record is from RNAcentral.
GACGAACGCUGGCGGCGUGCUUAACACAUGCAAGUCGAACGGAAAGGCCCUGCUUUUGUGGGGUGCUCGAGUGGCGAACGGGUGAGUAACACGUGAGUAACCUGCCCUUGACUUUGGGAUAACUUCAGGAAACUGGGGCUAAUACCGGAUAGGAGCUCCUGCUGCAUGGUGGGGGUUGGAAAGUUUCGGCGGUUGGGGAUGGACUCGCGGCUUAUCAGCUUGUUGGUGGGGUAGUGGCUUACCAAGGCUUUGACGGAUAGCCGGCCUGAGAGGGUGACCGGCCACAUGGGGACUGAGAUAAGGCCCAGACUCCUACGGGAGGCAGCAGUGGGGAAUAUUGCACAGUGGGCGCAAGCCUGAUGCAGCAACGCUGCGUGCGGGAUGACGGCCUUCGGGUUGUAAACCGCUUUCGCCUGUGACGAAGCGUGAGUGACGGUAAUGGGUAAAGAAGCACCGGCUAACUACGUG